This 490-nucleotide ribosomal RNA is filed under the name uncultured bacterium. RNAcentral's name for it is "partial 16S ribosomal RNA". It matches the Rfam family "Bacterial small subunit ribosomal RNA", at positions 30 to 507 of the family's 1533-position model. The record is from RNAcentral.
AUUGAACGCUGGCGGCAGGCCUAACACAUGCAAGUCGAACGGUAACAGGAAGCAGCUUGCUGCUUCGCUGACGAGUGGCGGACGGGUGAGUAAUGUCUGGGAAACUGCCUGAUGGAGGGGGAUAACUACUGGAAACGGUAGCUAAUAUCGCAUAACGUCGCAAGACCAAAGAGGGGGACCUUAGGGCCUCUUGCCAUCGGAUGUGCCCAGAUGGGAUUAGCUAGUAGGUGGGGUAACGGCUCACCUAGGCGACGAUCCCUAGCUGGUCUGAGAGGAUGACCAGCCACACUGGAACUGAGACACGGUCCAGACUCCUACGGGAGGCAGCAGUGGGGAAUAUUGCACAAUGGGCGCAAGCCUGAUGCAGCCACGCCGCGUGUAUGAAGAAGGCCUUCGGGUUGUAAAGUACUUUCAGCGGGGAGGAAGGGAGUAAAGUUAAUACCUUUGCUCAUUGACGUUACCCGCAGAAGAAGCACCGGCUAACUCCGUG